GCCUUAUACAUGCAGUCGAACGCGUAGACGCAGAAAAUCUCGCCUCUUGGGUGGCGACUGGCGAGCGGGUGACUCACAUAUCGGAUCGUACCGAGCAGUGGGGGACAACUAAUCAAAAGAUUAUCUAAUACCGCAUAUUUUCUGAGGAAUAAAGCAGGGGACCUUUGGGCCUUGCCCUGUCUGACCGAUCGAUAUCUGAUUAGCUAGCUGGUGGGGGAAAGGCCUACCCACGCGACCAUCAAUACCUAGUCUAACAGGAAGAUCCACCACCCUGACACUGACACACAGACCACACUCAUACCGGAGGCAGCCGUGGGGAAUUAUGCACCAUGGGCGCACGCCUGAUCCAGCCAUGCCCCCCGCCUGAAUAAAGACUGCGGUCUGAUAAGGACUUUCGUCUGGGAAAAAAAAGCCAGUGUUAAUACCCCUGUCUGAUGACGGUACCUGAUCAUUCAGCACCGGCUCACUACGUGCCAUCAGCCGCGGCACUACGUAAGGUGCGAGCGUAAAUCGGAAUUACUGUGUUUAAAGCGAACGCAGACCGUUACUUAAGAAAGAUGUGAAAUCCCCGGGCUCAACCUGGCAACUGCGUUCUGAACUGAGUGACUAGAGUGUGUCAGAAGGAGGUAGAAUUCCACCUGUAGCAGUGAAAUGCAUAGAGAUAUAUAUGGAAUACCGAUGGCGAACGCAGCCUCCUGUCAUAACACUGACGUUCAUGCACGAUCGCAAGCGUAGCGAGCAGGAUUAGAUACACUGGCAGUCCACGCCCUCCACGAUCUCUAUUAGCUGUUGGGCAGAAUGACUGCUUAGUAUCGAACCUCACCCAUGACAUCAACCGCCUGGCCAGUACAGUCGCACGACUAAGACUCAAAUGAAUUGACUUGGACCCGCACACCCCAAGCAUGAUGUGGAUUAGUUCAAUUCAACGCAAAGAAACUUAACCUGGUCUUGACUUGUACGGCACCCUUCCAGAUACUGAAGGAUGGCUUUCCGUACCCGAAACACAGGAUCCUGCAUGGCUUGCUUCACCUCCGGUCCUUGAAAUGAUAAGGUUGAGGUCCAGUCACCGAACCCAAGCCCUUGCCCUUAUUUUGCCUUCCUUAAGUUUGGGUACUUCCAUUGAAAUGGACAGUGGCCAACCCGAACGGACGGUGAGGGAUGGAAGUGAAGGUCCUUAAGGUCCCUU
RNAcentral lists this ribosomal RNA (1186 nucleotides) under uncultured Neisseria sp. RNAcentral's name for it is "bacterial SSU rRNA". It matches the Rfam family "Bacterial small subunit ribosomal RNA", at positions 46 to 1204 of the family's 1533-position model. Lineage: Bacteria; Pseudomonadati; Pseudomonadota; Betaproteobacteria; Neisseriales; Neisseriaceae. The record is from RNAcentral.